RNAcentral lists this ribosomal RNA (596 nucleotides) under uncultured bacterium. RNAcentral describes it as "bacterial SSU rRNA". It matches the Rfam family "Bacterial small subunit ribosomal RNA", at positions 112 to 704 of the family's 1533-position model. The record is from RNAcentral.
AAUGCCUAGGAAUCUGCCUGGUAGUGGGGGAUAACGUUCGGAAACGGACGCUAAUACCGCAUACGUCCUACGGGAGAAAGCAGGGGACCUUCGGGCCUUGCGCUAUCAGAUGAGCCUAGGUCGGAUUAGCUAGUUGGUGAGGUAAUGGCUCACCAUGGCGACGAUCCGUAACUGGUCUGAGAGGAUGAUCAGUCACACUGGAACUGAGACACGGUCCAGACUCCUACGGGAGGCAGCAGUGGGGAAUAUUGGACAAUGGGCGAAAGCCUGAUCCAGCCAUGCCGCGUGUGUGAAGAAGGUCUUCGGAUUGUAAAGCACUUUAAGUUGGGAGGAAGGGUUGUAGAUUAAUACUCUGCAAUUUUGACGUUACCGACAGAAUAAGCACCGGCUAACUCUGUGCCAGCAGCCGCGGUAAUACAGAGGGUGCAAGCGUUAAUCGGAAUUACUGGGCGUAAAGCGCGCGUAGGUGGUUUGUUAAGUUGGAUGUGAAAUCCCCGGGCUCAACCUGGGAACUGCAUUCAAAACUGACUGACUAGAGUAUGGUAGAGGGUGGUGGAAUUUCCUGUGUAGCGGUGAAAUGCGUAGAUAUAGGAAGG